AUUGAACGCUGGCGGUAUGGCUAAAGCAUGCAAGUCGGACGGGCCCGCAAGGGCCAGUGGCGGAAGGGUUAGUAAGAGCAUCGAACGUACCCCGAGGUGGGGGAUAGCGGUGGGAAACUGCCGGUAAUACCCCAUGAUCUCUCAGGAGCAAAGGUUUACCGCCUUGGGAUCGGCGAUGCCCCUAUCAGCUAGUUGGUGAGGUAAUGGCUCACCAAGGCUACGACGGGUAGCGGGUGUGAGAGCACGGCCCGCAACAUCGGGACUGAGACACUGCCCGGACUCCUACGGGAGGCUGCAGCGACGAAUCUUCCGCAAUGGGCGCAAGCCUGACGGAGCAAUACCGCGUGUGGGAUGAAGCGGCUAUGCCGUGUAAACCACUGUCAGGGGACGGAAUCAAUGAUUGUCCCCAAAGGAAGAGACGGCUAACUCUGUG
Molecule: ribosomal RNA, 433 nt
Filed under: uncultured bacterium
Lineage: Bacteria
Description: bacterial SSU rRNA
Rfam family: Bacterial small subunit ribosomal RNA
Source: RNAcentral